GGAGAGGUGGCAGAGUGGUCGAUCGCGCCUGACUCGAAAUCAGGUGUGCCGAAAGGUACCGGGGGUUCGAAUCCCUCCCUCUCCGCCA
RNAcentral lists this transfer RNA (88 nucleotides) under Verrucomicrobiota bacterium. Its description in RNAcentral is "Verrucomicrobia bacterium (freshwater metagenome) tRNA-Ser". It matches the Rfam family "tRNA". From Rfam's summary of the family: Transfer RNA (tRNA) molecules are approximately 80 nucleotides in length. Their secondary structure includes four short double-helical elements and three loops (D, anti-codon, and T loops). Further hydrogen bonds mediate the characteristic L-shaped molecular structure. tRNAs have two regions of fundamental functional importance: the anti-codon, which is responsible for specific mRNA codon recognition, and the 3' end, to which the tRNAs corresponding amino acid is attached (by aminoacyl-tRNA synthetases). tRNAs cope with the degeneracy of the genetic code in two manners: having more than one tRNA (with a specific anti-codon) for a particular amino acid; and 'wobble' base-pairing, i.e. permitting non-standard base-pairing at the 3rd anti-codon position. Lineage: Bacteria; Pseudomonadati; Verrucomicrobiota. The record is from RNAcentral.